Bubalus bubalis (water buffalo) is the source of this 365-nucleotide long non-coding RNA. RefSeq lists it as uncharacterized. The record is from RefSeq and is a predicted model, not a curated record. NCBI's taxonomy places the organism in Eukaryota, Metazoa, Chordata, Mammalia, Artiodactyla, Bovidae. The transcript has 2 exons.
UCUUGAACUCCUUGUUUUUCUUGUCCCACUUGUGGAUGGCGGUCAGCAGGUACUGGCUCUUGACCUUGCGGCCCAUGAUGAGGAAGUGGUGGCUGAGGUUGUCCAGCUGGUGGCAGGGGCAGUCGGCCCCGUUCUUCAGGAGAAAGUUAUUGGUUUAGUUUUUUUUUUAACAUCCAAAGGACCUAAAAUUCAGGCUCUGGAAAUAAGACAGAUAAGACCUAUGUGUGUGCUGACAGCAAGGGAAAGCUAACCGCAUCAAACAUCAGUGUCCGACUUCAGCAUCUGGACUGUGGUCCCAACCACGGUGCCUCCAGGAAGUUCAGACAGCAGGUACCACGGACAGGCUGUCCACCACUCAUCUACCA